RNAcentral lists this ribosomal RNA (106 nucleotides) under Clostridiaceae bacterium HSG29. RNAcentral's name for it is "partial 16S ribosomal RNA". It matches the Rfam family "Bacterial small subunit ribosomal RNA", at positions 1 to 107 of the family's 1533-position model. The record is from RNAcentral. Lineage: Bacteria; Bacillati; Bacillota; Clostridia; Eubacteriales; Clostridiaceae.
UUAAUUAAGAGUUUGAUCUUGGCUCAGGAUGAACGCUGGCGGCGUGCUUAACACAUGCAAGUCGAGCGAGAAGUUUAGUAAUGGAUCUUCGGAGAAGUUAAUAAAC